CGUUCUCUGAAAUUGCAUAAGUAAUUGGUUCUUAUAUAGAGAAUCGGACCUGCCCAGUGACUAGAAUGUUAAACGGCCGCGGUACUCUGACCGUGCAAAGGUAGCAUAAUCAUUUGCCUUUUAAUUGGAGGCUUGUAUGAAUGGUUUGACGAAAGCUAAGCUGUCUCUUUCUAAUUUUGAAAAAAUUAAUUUUCAAGUGAAGAAGCUUGUAUUUAACUGAGGGACAAGAAGACCCCGUUGAGCUUUAGUAAUCUAGUAAAAUAAUAAAAUUGAUCACUUUGAUUAAUUAAAGUGUUUACGUUAAAUUUAUCUAAAUGAUUUUUGUUAGAAAUCUUUAGUUGGGGCGACUGAGGAACAAAUAGAGCUUCCUUUAGUAUUCCCUACAAUGAAGUACAUUUUAAGUUGGUUUGAUCCAGUAAUAUACUGAUUAAAGGAAAAAGUUACCACGGGGAUAACAGCGUAAUCUUUCUAGCGAGUUCCUAUCGAAAGAAGGGUUUGCGACCUCGAUGUUGGACUAAGAUAUCCUAUAGGUGCAGAAGCUUAUAAUGGUUAGUCUGUUCGACUAUUAAAAUCUU
Molecule: ribosomal RNA, 575 nt
Filed under: Astralium tentorium
Lineage: Eukaryota; Metazoa; Mollusca; Gastropoda; Trochida; Turbinidae
Description: partial 16S ribosomal RNA
Rfam family: Bacterial large subunit ribosomal RNA
Source: RNAcentral